CUGAGUGAGGGCCCUCUGGGUCCAACCUCCCACCCGUGUUUAUUGUACCUUGUUGCUUCGGCGGGCCCGCCUUUAUGGCCGCCGGGGGGCUUACGCUCCCGGGCCCGCGCCCGCCGAAGACACCCUCGAACUCUGUCUGAAGAUUGUAGUCUGAGUGAAAAUAUAAAUUAUUUAAAACUUUCAACAACGGAUCUCUUGGUUCCGGCAUCGAUGAAGAACGCAGCGAAAUGCGAUACGUAAUGUGAAUUGCAGAAUUCAGUGAAUCAUCGAGUCUUUGAACGCACAUUGCGCCCCCUGGUAUUCCGGGGGGCAUGCCUGUCCGAGCGUCAUUGCUGCCCUCAAGCACGGCUUGUGUGUUGGGCCCCGUCCUCCGAUCCCGGGGGACGGGCCCGAAAGGCAGCGGCGGCACCGCGUCCGGUCCUCGAGCGUAUGGGGCUUUGUCACCCGCUCUGUAGGCCCGGCCGGCGCUUGCCGAUCAACCAAAAUUUUUUCCAGGUUGACCUCGGAUCAGGUAGGGAUACCCGCUGAACU
RNAcentral lists this ribosomal RNA (531 nucleotides) under Penicillium atramentosum. RNAcentral describes it as "eukaryotic LSU rRNA". The stretch from base 176 to 329 matches the Rfam family "5.8S ribosomal RNA". The record is from RNAcentral. Lineage: Eukaryota; Fungi; Ascomycota; Eurotiomycetes; Eurotiales; Aspergillaceae.